CCCUUAGAUGUUCUGGGCCGCACGCGCGCUACAAUGGUCUUCGCAAACGGAUGCAUUCUCGAAGGAGAAUGCCAAUCUUGGAAUCUAUGCCUUGGUCGGGACAGUUGCUUGCAAUUUUUCGACUCGAACCAGGAAUUCCUUGUAAUCGUGAUUCAUCACAUCACGAUGAAUACGUCCCUGCCCUUUGUACACACCGCCCGUCGCUCCUACCGAUCGAAGAGUUAGGUGAAUUGUUUUGAUCGAUAAGAUUUGACUAUGGUCAACUCUCGUUGGGAAAUUCUGUGAAUCUGACUGUUUAGAGGAAGGAAAAGUCGUAACA
RNAcentral lists this ribosomal RNA (319 nucleotides) under uncultured eukaryote. RNAcentral describes it as "partial 18S ribosomal RNA". It matches the Rfam family "Eukaryotic small subunit ribosomal RNA", at positions 1470 to 1796 of the family's 1831-position model. The record is from RNAcentral.